RNAcentral lists this non-coding RNA (89 nucleotides) under Enterobacter asburiae. The record is from RNAcentral. Lineage: Bacteria; Pseudomonadati; Pseudomonadota; Gammaproteobacteria; Enterobacterales; Enterobacteriaceae.
UUCAAUGGUGGGCUGGACGGGGGCGUCGCAAGACGCACCGGUGUCCAUUAAGGCCGGUAAUGCCAACUCCGUUCAGUCCUGCCACCCGG